UAACCCGGCCAUAGGCGAGGUGGAACCACCUGAACCCACCAGAACUCAGAAGUGAAACGCCUCGCCGUGCACGGAAGUACUGCGGUCCGGGAGGCCGCGGGAAACCGGCGUGCCGGGGCCU
This 121-nucleotide ribosomal RNA is filed under the name Vulcanisaeta sp. AZ3. Lineage: Archaea; Thermoproteati; Thermoproteota; Thermoprotei; Thermoproteales; Thermoproteaceae. The record is from RNAcentral.